Molecule: ribosomal RNA, 442 nt
Filed under: uncultured bacterium
Lineage: Bacteria
Description: partial 16S ribosomal RNA
Rfam family: Bacterial small subunit ribosomal RNA
Source: RNAcentral
CCUACGGGGAGCAGCAGUGGGGAAUAUUGGGCAAUGGGCGCAAGCCUGACCCAGCAACGCCGCGUGAAGGAAGAAGGCUUUCGGGUUGUAAACUUCUUUUGUCAGGGAAGAGUAGAAGACGGUACCUGACGAAUAAGCCACGGCUAACUACGGGCCAGCAGCCGCGGUAAUACGGAGGUGGCAAGCGUUGUCCGGAUUUAUUGGGGGUAAAGGGCGUGUAGGCGGGAAAGCAAGUCAGAUGUGAAACCGCAGGGCUUAACCCUGAGACUGCAUUUGAAACUGUUUUUCUUGAGUGCGGGAGAGGCAAGCGGAAUUCCGGGUGUAGCGGUGAAAUGCGUAGAUAUACGGAGGAACACCAGUGGCGAAGGCGGCUUGCUGGACAGUAACUGACGCUGAGGCGCGAAAGCGUGGGGAGCAAACAGGAUUAGAUACCCUUGUAGUC